UUAAUUGACCUCAUGUGUGUGGGUUUAUCUCUGGGCUUUCUAUUCUGUCCCAUUGAUCUGUAUUUCUGUUGUUGUGCCAGAACCAUACUUUUUUGAUGUCUGUAGCUUUUCAGGACAGUGUGAAGUCAGUCUGAUUCCUGCAGCU
Molecule: long non-coding RNA, 145 nt
Organism: Cervus elaphus (red deer)
Lineage: Eukaryota; Metazoa; Chordata; Mammalia; Artiodactyla; Cervidae
Exons: 3
Source: RefSeq, a predicted model, not a curated record